This is a non-coding RNA of Nicotiana tabacum (common tobacco), 1765 nucleotides long. The record is from RefSeq and is a predicted model, not a curated record. Lineage: Eukaryota; Viridiplantae; Streptophyta; Magnoliopsida; Solanales; Solanaceae.
ACAAAUGCCUUAAGAAGAUAAGAAGGCAAAUGAGAGGUAUGUUUAAAUCCUAAACAUUAGGCCUUCUUUUAUAGGGUGAAGUACCAACCCAAUUUACUUCCCAACCGAUGUGGUAUAUUGACAUAUUCAACAAUAUGGUCUUGGGCAACCCUCACCUUAUAAACUAGCUUUUGUGGUUGAGUUAGGCCCAAUGUCCAUUUAUCACAUACAAAUGUUUUUGUUGUUUCAUUGAAGAGCUGUUAAAUUAUCUAUAAAAAUGGAUUCUUUUAAAUUUCUAAACCAUAUAAUUAUCACAUUUCAUCAUUUAUUACGUCUAGUUAUCCUCAUCAUAGGCCAUAUUACCUGACUUGUAGUCGUUUAGAGAUCCUUUGAUUAAAAUGAGAAAGCUGAUCACGAAACAACUACGACUAAAGAUACUUGAGGAGGAAUAUACACCUCAAAUAGACAUCCAGCCAACUCCAGAUUGCUAGAAGAUUAUGUUAACUAGGUUGAUGCUUAAUGUUACUUCCAAGGCUUCACGAUUUGCAUAACAAAACCCUAUUUAUAACAAGUUGAGAUGAAAAUUUAGGUAUUAUUAUGGUAUAAGCUUUAAAAACCUAAUGACUAAAUUAUUAUUAUCCCAGCUUUGUAAAAGCCUCAGUACAACUCUGCUAGCUUGAGUGUAAGAACUUUGCGGAAAAUCUACUUUAAAUAGCAUAGAUAAUUGCCGAAAUUAUCUUCUGAAGUGUGUCAAGCUGUGUGUGCAUGUUUUUCGAUUACACUACCUAGAAUAGGGAUUUCUACCAUGAGCUAUCUUGUCUGGAAAUAAAUCUUGACUGAAGUGAACUAUCUAUAAUUCAGACUGACUGUCCUUGUGAUAUGUUUUUGAAGUCAUUUGAUCUAAAGAAGUGUUUGUUCUUGUCGAUUUACAUGACUGGCAAUUGGAAACCAGUUAAGUAACUGAAGAAUGUACGUUGAAAGGAAUCUAAUGUAAGGACCCGUUUGGCCAUAGAUUUUCCCAAAAUAAAUUUGGGUUUUAUUUGGCAUACGCAUGUUUGGCUAUAAAUUUUGCCUAUAUUUUGGCAAAAUUCCAAAUCCCAAAACCAGCUCAAUAGCUGGUUUUGGACCAAAAUCACAAAACAUGUAUAAUAAUAUACAUGUUUUUCCAAAAUAAAUUUGGGAAAUAUGUUAUUGAAAACGUAUGUCCAAAACAUAUUUUCAUCUUCAAACCAAACUUCACCCAAAUCGGAUUUUUCAAAACAAAUUUGGGAAUCUAUGGCCAAACGCUAGCUAAGUUUCCAUUUUUUUUUUGGAAAAAAACAGAUUAUUGACACUGCGGAGAUAGAGAAAAUGGUAGAUAAGGUGAUUGCAUAUAAUCCAAAGCAGCAAGAACAAUACCGUGGUGGUAAAACUAAAUUGCAAGGUUUUUUUGCUGGCCAGGUGAUGAAGGAAUCGAAAGGCAAAGCAAAUCCAAAACUUUUGAACAAAAUCCUCUUGGAAAAAUUAAAUGCCACGAGCUGAUGUUGGCUGUUAUCUGUCACGUGCGAGCUCUGUUUAGUUCUUUCUUUUCCUGACCUUUGCUUCACUCUCUUAUCAUAUUGCUCAUGUUCCAUACGAUGUGAUUCAGUGAUUACAAUUGUAGCUGCUUACUUUCUUCCUUCAAGUGUAAUUAAAGUAUGCAGUUUUUUUAAGGAUUCAAUGUUAUUUCCAUAUUCCUGUUGAUGAAGCUAUUGUUCGCAGAUAUUUUUUUUACUUUAAAUGUGCUUGAUGAGAUUGAGAAGCUAAA